CUCCCUCCCUACCCCCACCACGUGCACAGAAGAAAGACCACGUUGAAGACACAGCUGGAAGGUGCCGUCUGCAAAUUAAAGACAGAGCCCUCACCAGAAGCCAAACCCGUCGGCACCUUGUUCUUGGACCUCCAGCCUCCAGAACUAUGAGAAGACUGGAGCUCAGAGACACUCAGAGAGUCGGCAGAGGUCACACAGUAAGAAGAGAACACCAAGUCAAUCCCAGAUUUUGAGAGCACUCUUUCCAGGACAACCCAGCAGCUCACACCUUAAACCAGCUCUGUCCUGGACAGGAUUGGUGCUCCACUCAGAUCCACUCAGAUCCCUUUAUGCCAGGUCUGAGUGUCCCACCAUCUACCCCAGCCUGCCUGUCCAUCCACCACCACCUGACGGUCUCUGUGACUCUUCUUUGGAGCACUGCCCUUUUUUGGGGGGUUUUGCUUUUCUUUGAUGCUGCAGGCUCUCUGCUGGCCCUUCUGGAGGACCAGGAGCACCUGAGCAUUUCUCCCAGGCAGCCCUUCACUGGUGACUGUCGGGAGGACAUGUAGGAAAGCCCAGCCCCUUUCCUAGGCGGGGACAACUCGGGGAUGUGACUCACACUCCAGGGCUCCCGGAGGGAUCGGGCUGAGGCCACCUUCCACAGGAGUUUGCUGAAAUUGUGCUUCGUUUGGCUUCCUCCCCUUCCAUGUCCUGCCUCCCUCACCCACUUCCUCAUCCCCCCUGGGACACACAAGUCCUGUCUCAGGGUCUUCAUCUGGGAAACCCAACCCAAGACCGAGUCCCCUUGAAGAUGCGUGCCCUGCCACAAGGCUGGUCUUCUGCCCCGGGUCCUGGCACAGCGGGAGCCAGGCAGCACCCAGAGCGUGAAUGGAGAAUCACGCCUGGGGGACAUCCCAAAGGCAGCAGCUGCGUGGCUUUGGGAACAGCUGGGAGUGGGAGCAGGGAUGGACACUCUACGGCAACAGGGAUGAGGAGAAGAGAAUGAGGCUCUUUGGCCUUCUGUGACCUUCAUUAUUUUAUUGUUACACCGUUUAUAUCUGUUCAAAGUGGUACAAAAAUGCACCAAAAUGGCUCAAUGCAGAUUUUUUUAAAAAAAGAUCACCCACAGAUAAAAUUUUCACUGAGCAAGGUCUGACUGCCCAAUGCACAGAGAAGCUAAUACUACGGCACCAGCUUUUGAGAAAAGAAAUAAGCUUUAUUACAGGGUUGACCAGCAAGGACACAGGAGGAGGGGCUCUCAAAUUCUAUCUCCCCGAUCCAAGGUUUGGGGCAAAGUUUAAGGAGUUAGGGGUCACUGAGCCACAGCUGGGCCCACAUAAGCUGAUUGGCUGGUCUCGAAUCUGUCCGUAGAUGGCAAUCAAGCUGCUUGAGCUGCUGGAAGCCAGAUUUUCCUUACGGAAGGACUUCUAGCUUCUUCAAGGGCUCCAGUGGCAACAUUUCUGAAGAUUCUUGGUUCUGGGGUCACCCUGGAGCUACGGGAUCCCGCCUGGCACAUGUGCAGUGCCGUCUCUGUGAUCAAGCAAGGUUUGAUUCAUCAAUGACCUGUUUUAAGGAAGCAAAACUAGUUUAAGCUGGUCAAGGUUUUAUGCGCUGUUUCAACAGCAAGCAGUCAACCCAUUGCCAGCCAGAUGAUGUACACGUGUUGAAACAAAAACAGGCCCAUCCCAUACAGAGAGUAAGUGGUGUGUGGAAGAGGCAUUGGGAGUGUGGGCUCUAGAGCCAGGCUGCCAGGAUGUGGGUCUUGACUCCACACUUACUAGCUGUGUGACCUGGGGCAGAUAACUUCAUCCCUCUGUGCCUCAGUUUCCUCAUCUGCAAAGUGGAGAUGUUAAUAAUGUCUCCCUUGGAGGGUGGUCUCGACGGUUAAAUGAGUUCCUGCCUACAAAGCACUUACAGCGGACCCUGGCAUAUACAAAGUUUGGUGAUAAUGUUUGCUGUCAUCAUCAUCGGAGCUGUUGUAACCAGAGGUCUUAACCCGGCAGCUUCUGGCACGAUCCAGCCUGCAGAUGUGUUUUGUUUAGUUCAAAUAACGUUUUCCAAAUCUAUUCUGUUGCCAAAAUUUCAGAUUCGGGAGACUUGCCCUUAAAAGGCAGAUUUCUGGCUACUUGAAAAGCAGGACGAUUGGGCAACACUUGGCUCACAUAGCCAUGGAGUAAAAUCAGCCAGAGGUGGGUUGUGGCUGCCCCCCAGCAGGGAGGCAGGGGCGCCCCACUGGCCGCUGCCCCGAUGUGGGUCGCUUCCCUGAGCUACAUGCUGAGUCCCACGGGUACUCAUGGCUGUGAGCUCUGUGCUUCUCAACACACAGUGAACGCGUCCUGGGAGCAACAUUGAUGCAGAUUUGAUGAGUCCUUGAUGCUCUGGCUCGUGGCUCCACCAUCACUUAUUUCACAGAAUUCUCAGCAUUGAACACAGGGGCCAUUUCAAGGUU
Molecule: long non-coding RNA, 2428 nt
Filed under: Equus asinus (donkey)
Lineage: Eukaryota; Metazoa; Chordata; Mammalia; Perissodactyla; Equidae
Description: lncRNA (ENSEASG00005038579.1)
Source: RNAcentral